Molecule: small RNA, 933 nt
Filed under: Pan troglodytes (chimpanzee)
Lineage: Eukaryota; Metazoa; Chordata; Mammalia; Primates; Hominidae
Description: retained intron
Source: RNAcentral
UAUGAGGGAUAGUUAUGUGAGAAAAUUAAUUAGAUAAUGUCUAAAACAUACAUGUCGACAACAAUAAAAAAUACUGUGCUUUAUUAAGUUAGGGGAAUUGGCUUAAAGCUUAAUUACUGCAAAAUGAAUGUUAUAGAAAUUUAGUGAGCCAACAAAUAGUUUUUAAAUACUUUUCUCUUCCUUAAGCUUUUCUCCAUGGAAUCCUUCUGUACAUGAUGAAGCCAGAGAAAAGAUGCUGACUCAGAAAAAGAAGCCUGAAGAACAGCACAAUAAAAGUGUUCAUGUUGCUGGCCUGUCAUGGGUAAAGCCUGGCUCAGUACAGCCUUUCAGUAAAGAAGAGAAAACAGUGGCGACUUAAGAGAUGGUGAAUCUGGUGCACCAUGCACUUUCCUGCUGGACUCUGGCCUAGUUCAAGCUGACCAAUGGCAGAGGACUGCCUGAAGAGUAAAACUGUGUGAACAAUGACUGACUGCCAGUGUUUUCCAUGUAUGCAUAGGUUCUAACAGCAGGGUUUGGAAACCUGUCUCUAAGUAAUGCAUUACUUCUGUCAGAAGUGUCUUAGGGUGGUUAUCUAGUUCAGUACUCCAAAUUAUUGGGGACCUUGAGGCUUAAGUAAGUAUUUUUCUGAAUAUAAUGCUAAAGGUAAGUUGCAUUCAUUUAAACUAAUAGAGCAGACAGAAUUCAGCACUACUUAAUAGUUUAUAAAUCAGUGGUUUCAGUUGUAUAUAUGUUAGGAAAUGGAGAGGUAUAGAGAGAGCAGGUUCCAUAGCUCAGCACUUUUAAGUGGAAGAUCAUUUGAAUCUCUCUCAGUCUUCAGCCUGCACUGAUUUGUAGCCUGCACUGUCUUACUGAUUUACAAACUGAAAUCACUGAGAAAUGUCUUUAGUUCAGUGAGAAGAAACCAGAACACUUGUUCCUAGUGUUGUGUUUUUU